GGGCACAUGGUGUAGUUGGUUUAUCACGCCCGCUUAGCAUGAUAUCGCUCGGGACGGUUGUUUGCGGGAGGUGUUGGGUUCAAUUCCCAAUGUGUCCA
Non-coding RNA from Armillaria nabsnona, 98 nucleotides. The record is from the annotation of a GenBank genome assembly. Lineage: Eukaryota; Fungi; Basidiomycota; Agaricomycetes; Agaricales; Physalacriaceae.